Molecule: unclassified non-coding RNA, 255 nt
Filed under: Hevea brasiliensis (rubber tree)
Lineage: Eukaryota; Viridiplantae; Streptophyta; Magnoliopsida; Malpighiales; Euphorbiaceae
Source: RNAcentral
GAUGGAUGCGACGAACCAGUAAUAGUUGACCUGGGAAUCAAGGUUGAAGCCGAAAAUCGCCGGACGGACGAUGCCGCCGAUGCCGUUCUCGCCGCCGGUCACAUCGGUCCAGCGAAACGACACCGUGUAGAGCAUCGCAGCUAGUGCCAGCGUCAGCAGCGAAAAGUAGACCCCUCGCCGCCGCAGGAUGAGAAAACCGAACGGCACUGCGACGAGCACAAUGACGAGGAUGGCGCCGAUCGCGGGACCGAAAAA